GAUGAAGACGUAGCGAAAUGCGAUACUUGGUGUGAAUUGCAGAAUCCCGUGAACCAUCGAGUCUUUGAACGCAAGUUGCGCCCGAAGCCAUUAGGCCGAGGGCACGCCUGCCUGGGCGUCACACGUCGUUGCCCCCCCAUCUACUCCUUCGGGAUUGCGGGGGGCGGAUGAUGGCCUCUCGUGCGCCUCGUCGCGCGGUUGGCCUAAAUGCCAAGUCCUCGGCGACGCACGCCACGACAAUCGGUGGUUGCGAAACCUCGGUUGCCUGUCGUGUGCGGUCGUCGCGCAUCGAGGGCUCGAAAAAAUUGCCGGGCUUCGGCUCGACUUUCAACGCGACCCCAGGUCAGGCGGGGUUACCCGCUGAAUUUAAGCAUAUCAAUAACGGAGGA
RNAcentral lists this unclassified non-coding RNA (389 nucleotides) under soil metagenome. Its description in RNAcentral is "partial contains 5.8S ribosomal RNA, internal transcribed spacer 2, and large subunit ribosomal RNA". The stretch from base 1 to 121 matches the Rfam family "5.8S ribosomal RNA", at positions 35 to 154 of the family's 154-position model. The record is from RNAcentral.